RNAcentral lists this ribosomal RNA (409 nucleotides) under bacterium. RNAcentral describes it as "partial 16S ribosomal RNA". It matches the Rfam family "Bacterial small subunit ribosomal RNA", at positions 355 to 776 of the family's 1533-position model. The record is from RNAcentral.
UGGGGAAUAUUGCACAAUGGGCGAAAGCCUGAUGCAGCGACGCCGCGUGAGGGAUGACGGCCUUCGGGUUGUAAACCUCUUUCAGCAGGGACGAAGCGCAAGUGACGGUACCUGCAGAAGAAGCACCGGCUAACUACGUGCCAGCAGCCGCGGUAAUACGUAGGGUGCAAGCGUUGUCCGGAAAUACUGGGCGUAAAGAGUUCGUAGGCGGUUUGUCGCGUCGUUUGUGAAAACCAGCAGCUCAACUGCUGGCUUGCAGGCGAUACGGGCAGACUUGAGUACUGCAGGGGAGACUGGAAUUCCUGGUGUAGCGGUGAAAUGCGCAGAUAUCAGGAGGAACACCGGUGGCGAAGGCGGGUCUCUGGGCAGUAACUGACGCUGAGGAACGAAAGCGUGGGUAGCGAACAGG